This 460-nucleotide ribosomal RNA is filed under the name uncultured bacterium. RNAcentral's name for it is "partial 16S ribosomal RNA". It matches the Rfam family "Bacterial small subunit ribosomal RNA", at positions 338 to 795 of the family's 1533-position model. The record is from RNAcentral.
CCUACGGGAGGCAGCAGUGAGGAAUAUUGGUCAAUGGACGAGAGUCUGAACCAGCCAAGUAGCGUGAAGGAUGACUGCCCUAUGGGUUGUAAACUUCUUUUAUAUGGGAGUAAAAUGUUCCACGUGUGGGAUUUUGUAUGUAUCAUAUGAAUAAGGAUCGACUAACUCCGUGCCAGCAGCCGCGGUAAUACGGAGGAUCCGAGCGUUAUCCGGAUUUAUUGGGUUUAAAGGGUGCGUAGGUGGAUGGUUAAGUUAGUUGUGAAAGUUUGCGGCUCAACCGUAAAAUUGCAGUUGAUACUGGCCGGCUAGAGAACAGUAGAGGUAGGCGGAAGUCGUGGUGUAGCGGUGAAAUGCUUAGAGAUCAUGAAGAACUCCGAGUGCGAAGGCAGCUCACUGGCCUGCAACUGACACUGAGGCUCGAAAGUGUGGGUAUCAAACAGGAUUAGAUACCCUAGUAGUC